Molecule: long non-coding RNA, 474 nt
Filed under: Homo sapiens (human)
Lineage: Eukaryota; Metazoa; Chordata; Mammalia; Primates; Hominidae
Description: HSALNT0142887
Source: RNAcentral
AAAAAUGUUAGUUCUUUUCCACCACUGUUUACUCAUUCGUUUUACAACUGCUCAACUUUGUUCUGGUCCAGCAGGACUCUCUUGUACAAGCCCCAACAGCUCCAUGCCCAUCCCUGCCCAGGGUCCAGCCUUGUCUUAGUAAACAUUCAUCUCCCUGACUCAGGCUGCUGCUUAGAAAUUCUGUUUCGGUUGCAGUUCCAUUGUGUGGAGCCAGUACUACAACUUUUCCUCCUGCAUUCAUUUCUCUUCCUGCUGCCUUGUGAAGAAGGUGCCUUGCUUCCCCUUCACCUUCUACGGUGAUUGCAAGUUGCCUGAGGAUUCCCCAGCCAUGUGAAACUGUGAGGACACAAUAGGAUGACCAUCAGCAAACCAGGAAUAAUGCCCUCAACAGACAUCUGAUCUGCUGACACCUUGAUCUUGGACUUCUAAUUCUGCAGAACUGUGAGAAAUAAAUAACUGUUUUUAAAAACCAUC